RNAcentral lists this ribosomal RNA (333 nucleotides) under uncultured eukaryote. RNAcentral describes it as "partial 18S ribosomal RNA". It matches the Rfam family "Eukaryotic small subunit ribosomal RNA", at positions 1470 to 1796 of the family's 1831-position model. The record is from RNAcentral.
CCCUUAGAUGUUCUGGGCCGCACGCGCGCUACACUGUUCGACGCAGCGAGUCUUAACCUUGACCGAAAGGUUUGGGUAAUCUUCAGCAAAGUCGAACGUGAUGGGGAUCGAUCAUUGCAAUUAUUGAUCAUAAACGAGGAAUUCCUAGUAAGCGCAAGUCAGCAGCUUGCGUUGAUUACGUCCCUGCCCUUUGUACACACCGCCCGUCGCUACUACCGAUUGAAUGGUUUAGUGAGAUCUUCGGAUUGGCGCCACUGCAGCUCAGCAAUGGGCUUGGUGGAUGCCGAAAAGUUGAUCAAACUUGAUCAUUUAGAGGAAGUAAAAGUCGUAACA